UUUGCAUAUUAUACAGAGACCUCUUAUACCUCUCAAAUGUUUCAUUGCUAAAAGUUUCAUGGAACCAUGAUGAAUAGUUCUUUUCCAUGAUGUUGGGGAUAAAGCUGGGCUUUUAAGUCUGCACCUGCGUAUUCUUAUAGCUUCUCAGAGUCCUACAGACAAUGAUUGAGGAGACAGACCGUGCAGGAAACAUCU
Talpa occidentalis (Iberian mole) is the source of this 195-nucleotide small nucleolar RNA. RefSeq annotates it as small nucleolar RNA SNORA73 family. The record is from RefSeq and is a predicted model, not a curated record. The transcript has a single exon. NCBI's taxonomy places the organism in Eukaryota, Metazoa, Chordata, Mammalia, Eulipotyphla, Talpidae.